GCCAGGUGCAGUGACACAUGCCUGUAGUCCCAGCUACUCGGGAGGCUGAGGUGGGAGGAUUGCUUGAGCCCAGGAGUUCUGGGCUGUAGUGCACUAUGCCAAUCGGGUGUCCGCACUAAGUUCUGCAUCAAUAUGGUGACCUCUCGGGAGCAGGCGACCACCAGGUUGCCUAAGGAGGGGUGAACUGGCCCAGGUCGGAAACGGUGCAGGUCAAAACUCCUGUGCUGAUCAGUAGUGGGAUCGCACCUGUAAACAGCCACUGCACUCCAGCCUGGGCAACAGAGUGAGACCCUGUCUCU
Molecule: signal recognition particle RNA, 299 nt
Filed under: Saimiri boliviensis boliviensis (Bolivian squirrel monkey)
Lineage: Eukaryota; Metazoa; Chordata; Mammalia; Primates; Cebidae
Description: Metazoan signal recognition particle RNA (ENSSBOG00000008416.1)
Rfam family: Metazoan signal recognition particle RNA
About the family: The signal recognition particle (SRP) is a universally conserved ribonucleoprotein. It is involved in the co-translational targeting of proteins to membranes.
Source: RNAcentral